UUCUUGCUGUCCUGUGCCCUCCUGG
Molecule: microRNA, 25 nt
Filed under: Canis lupus familiaris (dog)
Lineage: Eukaryota; Metazoa; Chordata; Mammalia; Carnivora; Canidae
Description: cfa-miR-8791b
Source: miRBase by way of RNAcentral